Molecule: ribosomal RNA, 433 nt
Filed under: uncultured bacterium
Lineage: Bacteria
Description: partial 16S ribosomal RNA
Rfam family: Bacterial small subunit ribosomal RNA
Source: RNAcentral
AACGAACGCUGGCGGCAUGCCUAACACAUGCAAGUCGAACGAAGGCUUCGGCCUUAGUGGCGCACGGGUGCGUAACGCGUGGGAAUCUGCCCUUUGGUUCGGAAUAACAGCUGGAAACGGCUGCUAAUACCGGAUGAUGACGAAAGUCCAAAGAUUUAUCGCCAGAGGAUGAGCCCGCGUUGGAUUAGGUAGUUGGUGGGGUAAAGGCCUACCAAGCCGACGAUCCAUAGCUGGUCUGAGAGGAUGAUCAGCCACACUGGGACUGAGACACGGCCCAGACUCCUACGGGAGGAAGCAGUGGGGAAUAUUGGACAAUGGGCGCAAGACUGAUCCAGCAAUGCCGCGUGAGUGAUGAAGGCCCUAGGGUUGUAAAGCUCUUUUACCCGGGAAGAUAAUGACUGUACCGGGAGAAUAAGCCCCGGCUAACUCCGUG